UACGGGGGGUGCGAGCGUUGUCCGGAAUCACUGGGCGUAAAGGGCGCGUAGGUGGCGUGAUAAGGGUGUGGUGAAAGCCCGGGGCUCAACCCCGGGUCUGCCAUGCCGACUGUCAGGCUAGAGUACUGUAGGGGCAGGCGGAAUUCCGGGUGUAGCGGUGGAAUGCGUAGAGAUCCGGAGGAAGACCGGUGGCGAAGGCGGCCUGCUGGGCAGUUACUGACACUGAGGCGCGACAGCGUGGGGAGCAAACAGG
This 253-nucleotide ribosomal RNA is filed under the name uncultured bacterium. Its description in RNAcentral is "partial 16S ribosomal RNA". It matches the Rfam family "Bacterial small subunit ribosomal RNA", at positions 524 to 776 of the family's 1533-position model. RNAcentral also lists the same sequence under 1 other name. The record is from RNAcentral.